Molecule: ribosomal RNA, 253 nt
Filed under: uncultured bacterium
Lineage: Bacteria
Description: partial 16S ribosomal RNA
Rfam family: Bacterial small subunit ribosomal RNA
Source: RNAcentral
UACGUAGGGCGCAAGCGUUGUCCGGAAUUCUUGGGCGUAAAGAGCUCGUAGGCGGCCUGUUACGUCUGCUGUGAAAUCCCGGGGCUUAACCCCGGGCGUGCAGUGGAUACGGGCAGGCUGGAGGCAGGCAGGGGAGAACGGAAUUCCCGGUGUAGCGGUGAAAUGCGCAGAUAUCGGGAGGAACACCGGUGGCGAAGGCGGUUCUCUGGGCCUGUACUGACGCUGAGGAGCGAAAGCGUGGGGAGCGAACAGG